GACCCGUCUUGAAACACGGACCAAGGAGCCCAASAUAUGCGCGAGUCGCUCGGUCUUGYUUAGGCCUGAGAGGCGAAAUUAACAUAACGGUAUGAUCCUUCUUUUGAAGGCGCAAUACCAACCUGCUUCAUUUGCUUUUCGCAUUGAAGUGGCGUUCGAGCGUACAUGUUGGUACCCGAAAGAUGGUGAACUAUACUUGGGCAAGACGAAGCCAGAGGAAACUCUGGUGGAGGUCUGUAGCGAUUCUGACGUGCAAAUCGAUCGUCAGACCUGAGUAUAGGGGCGAAAGACUAAUCGAACCAUCUAGUAGCUGGUUCACUCCGAAGUUUCCCUCAGGAUAGCUGUCACUAGACACUCUGUAGCAUCCGGUAAAGCGAAUGAUUAGAGGUAUUGGGAUCGAAACGAUCUCAACCUAUUCUCAAACUUUAAAUGGGUGCGAGGCAUGACUUUUUUAAGUGAAAGUCUUACUUCGUAAGAGUAGUGACAAGUGGGCCAUUUUUGGUAAGCAGAACUGGCGCUGUGGGAUGAACCAAACGAGCAGUUAAGGAACCCAAUGCCGACGCUCAUGAGACCCCAUGAAAGGUGUUGGUUGCUAUAGACAGCAGGACGGUGGCCAUGGAAGUUGGAAUCCGCUAAGGAGUGUGU
Molecule: ribosomal RNA, 645 nt
Filed under: Acari environmental sample
Lineage: Eukaryota; Metazoa; Arthropoda; Arachnida
Description: LSU rRNA
Rfam family: Eukaryotic large subunit ribosomal RNA
Source: RNAcentral